Molecule: ribosomal RNA, 253 nt
Filed under: uncultured bacterium
Lineage: Bacteria
Description: partial 16S ribosomal RNA
Rfam family: Bacterial small subunit ribosomal RNA
Source: RNAcentral
UACGUAGGGUGCAGGCGUUAAUCGGAAUUACUGGGCGUAAAGCGUGCGCAGGCGGUUUGUUAAGACAGAUGUGAAAUCCCCGGGCUUAACCUGGGAACUGCGUUUGUAACUGGCAAGCUAGAGUGUGGCAGAGGGGGGUGGAAUUCCAAGUGUAGCGGUGAAAUGCGUAGAUAUUUGGAGGAACACCAAUGGCGAAGGCAGCCCCCUGGGUUAACACUGACGCUCAUGCACGAAAGCGUGGGGAGCAAACAGG